RNAcentral lists this ribosomal RNA (255 nucleotides) under uncultured bacterium. RNAcentral's name for it is "partial 16S ribosomal RNA". It matches the Rfam family "Bacterial small subunit ribosomal RNA", at positions 15 to 266 of the family's 1533-position model. The record is from RNAcentral.
GAUCAUGGUCAGGACGAACGCUGGCGGCGCGCCUAACACAUGCAAGUCGAACGGAGCUUAAAGAGCUUGCUUUUUAAGCUUAGUGGCGAACGGGUGAGUAACGCGUGAGUAACCUGCCCUAGAGUGGGGGACAACAGUUGGAAACGACUGCUAAUACCGCAUAAGCCCACGGUACCGCAUGGCACUGAGGGAAAAGGAUUUAUUCGCUUUAGGAUGGACUCGCGUCCAAUUAGCUAGUUGGUGAGGUAACGGCCC